CCUACGGGGGGCUGCAGUGGGGAAUUUUGGACAAUGGGCGCAAGCCUGAUCCAGCCAUGCCGCGUGAGUGAAGAAGGCCUUCGGGUUGUAAAGCUCUUUCGGUGGGGAAGAAAUCGCAUCUCCUAAUAUGGGGUGUGGAUGACGGUACCCGCAUAAGAAGCACCGGCUAACUACGUGCCAGCAGCCGCGGUAAUACGUAGGGUGCGAGCGUUAAUCGGAAUUACGCGGCGGAUAGCGUGCGUAAGAUGUUAAAUCCCCGGGCUCAACCUGGGAACUGCAUUUGAGACUGUACGGCUAGAGUGUGGCAGAGGGGGGUAGAAUUCCACGUGUAGCAGUGAAAUGCGUAGAGAUGUGGAGGAAUACCGAUGGCGAAGGCAGCCCCCUGGGCCAAUACUGACGCUCAUGCACGAAAGCGUGGGGAGCAAACAGGAUUAGAUACCCCAGUAGUC
Molecule: ribosomal RNA, 449 nt
Filed under: uncultured bacterium
Lineage: Bacteria
Description: partial 16S ribosomal RNA
Rfam family: Bacterial small subunit ribosomal RNA
Source: RNAcentral